UUCAAGUAGCCAAAAAGGUCCUGGCCUGCAGCACCAGAGUUUGUGGGCCGUUCCCACCUUGGAA
This 64-nucleotide transfer RNA is filed under the name Vasticardium flavum. RNAcentral's name for it is "tRNA-Cys". Lineage: Eukaryota; Metazoa; Mollusca; Bivalvia; Cardiida; Cardiidae. The record is from RNAcentral.